Long non-coding RNA from Metopolophium dirhodum (rose-grain aphid), 220 nucleotides. RefSeq lists it as uncharacterized. Lineage: Eukaryota; Metazoa; Arthropoda; Insecta; Hemiptera; Aphididae. The record is from RefSeq and is a predicted model, not a curated record. The transcript is spliced from 3 exons.
CCCGUAAGUAAAUUAAACAUUUUAAUUUUAGGUUAUAUUAUAAUUGAAGCACCAUACAAUACAGGUCAAAGUGACUGUAAUGGUGAAAUGCGUGAAAACUACUCGGAGGAUAUAUUUAGCAUAACGAAACUGAGUUACCAAUACAGUAAGCACGUUUUAAUUAAUUUAAUUAUAUUUUGAAACACUACCUAACAACAUUUAUUCGACUAAAAACUGUGUC